Molecule: non-coding RNA, 18 nt
Filed under: Arabidopsis thaliana (thale cress)
Lineage: Eukaryota; Viridiplantae; Streptophyta; Magnoliopsida; Brassicales; Brassicaceae
Source: RNAcentral
GGGCUUUUGAUACGCUUG